GCCGACGUGGUGAAAUUGGUAGACACGCCGUCUUGAGGGGGCGGUGGCUUUGCCGUGUGAGUUCGAAUCUCACCGUCGGCACCA
RNAcentral lists this transfer RNA (84 nucleotides) under Burkholderiales bacterium. RNAcentral describes it as "tRNA-Leu". It matches the Rfam family "tRNA". Rfam says of the family: Transfer RNA (tRNA) molecules are approximately 80 nucleotides in length. Their secondary structure includes four short double-helical elements and three loops (D, anti-codon, and T loops). Lineage: Bacteria; Pseudomonadati; Pseudomonadota; Betaproteobacteria; Burkholderiales. The record is from RNAcentral.